RNAcentral lists this long non-coding RNA (699 nucleotides) under Rhagoletis pomonella (apple maggot). RNAcentral describes it as "uncharacterized LOC118752674". The record is from RNAcentral. Lineage: Eukaryota; Metazoa; Arthropoda; Insecta; Diptera; Tephritidae.
UUUUGUUUUUUCGUAGCAAAACUGUAAACAAAGGAUGAAAGAAAUGUCAACGAAAACUCCAACAGCCGGUGCGAACAGCUUACAGUAUUUUCGUUGUCGGUCCGAACAUGGUAUAACACUAUCUUGUGUAAAUUCGCCUUGCUAUUGAUAAAUAUCUGUAAAGAAACAAAGCUACUGUGUGGUGUAUUCAAUAUACAUUUUUUGGUGAAUUCUUUGGACAAUUGUCAAUUGCCCACAGAAAUUAUCAGGAAUUGCGGAAAGAGAUCUCUAGCUUAUAGGCAGAGUCAGCAGCAUACGUGGCGAUUUUCGGAAAAUAGUUUUCGUAGCGUUUUUGAUGUUCUUUGGUUUUGUUGACAUCGUCUUCUACCUCUUCAUAGUGAUCUUUUAGCGACUUGAUGUGUUUUCUGCAGCGAUUUAAACUAUAAAUUUUGAUUUCUUUCAAAUUUAUGAUAUAAAUGAAGUGCUUUGUGAUUUGAACAAGUUUGUGCGUUGGUUUGGUUUGCCAAGAGGCGUAAAUUUGCGUGAAAAGUGGGUGCACUUUUGCGGUCAGAAAAAAUCGAACUGUGCUGAUGCUACGUGGUUGCAAAACACUUUCUAUCAGGUAAACCAUAUUUUAUGAACACCUUUGCCUCAUUUUUAUUCAGUUUCAGUUAUUAUAUUUGAUGAUAAAUGCCAAUAUAAUCGCACUCAACCACCGCG